UUGACUGAAACCAAAAAGAGGUGUAUUAUUGUUAAUAAUAAAAUUGAAUUAGAAUUCCAGUUAAG
This 65-nucleotide transfer RNA is filed under the name Furculitermes winifredae. RNAcentral describes it as "tRNA-Asn". The record is from RNAcentral. Lineage: Eukaryota; Metazoa; Arthropoda; Insecta; Blattodea; Termitidae.